This 180-nucleotide unclassified non-coding RNA is filed under the name uncultured Herpotrichiellaceae. RNAcentral describes it as "sequence contains ITS2". Lineage: Eukaryota; Fungi; Ascomycota; Eurotiomycetes; Chaetothyriales; Herpotrichiellaceae. The record is from RNAcentral.
UCACCCUUCAAGCCCCCGGCUUGGUGUUGGACGGUUUGGUUUUGGUGACAAGACCCCUCCUAAAAUCAAUGACGGCGGCCUGUACGACCCCCGGUACACUGAGCUUCUUAACUGAGCAUGUAUCGGUCUCAGGGUAGACAGGACCCGGUCUUCUUCCUUGACCGGAAAUUUUUUCCAUAA